Molecule: long non-coding RNA, 1527 nt
Organism: Drosophila pseudoobscura
Lineage: Eukaryota; Metazoa; Arthropoda; Insecta; Diptera; Drosophilidae
Exons: 2
Source: RefSeq, a predicted model, not a curated record
AAACAUGCCCAAGAGCCCAUUAAAGUAGUAAACGGAUGUCAUGAUUGUUCCUUAAAUAUUUGGGACUUGCGCAGCAUUACUUAUAUAAAAACAAAAUUUUCUGGAUCAAAAUGCAAUGAUAUUGUCACAACAUACAGUUUUGGUUCAACGAUUCUUAGUGGAUAUUACGAUAAGACAACCCGUGAUAUGCGUACUGCAAAACAGGUAGAUGACGUCAUAUUAGCGGGAAAAAUCGCGUCCCUUGAUUUAUUAAAGGGUGAGUAGUCAAAAAAAGCAAAACACCGGUCGUAGUUGGCGGACACUUUAAAAUCAGCUGUGAUUCUGCUCGGCAUUCCUUUGACACGAGUGGCUUACAAAUUUCCUUUAGAUCAAUUUGUGCAGUAUAAAUUUGGAAUGUUAACGGCUUUUUCGAAACUACUGAAAAAGGACACAAAUUUUUUAAUUCUGUUCGUACAUACUUACAUGUAUCUUUUAAUGAUUCCAAGUUUUGUCAAAAUUAAAUAUUUAAACAUUUUCCUGCCUCAUACAUACAUAUGUGUGUAUAUACAUAUCUUUGGUUUGAGCUUAACCAUAACAAAAAUAGUUUUGGAAUCGGUUUAUUGCACAGCACAGCGGUAAAAGCGGUCAGCUAAAGCUCCAACAACAAUUUGCUGGGCUCGGUAGGAAAGAGCAAAAGGUGCAUCAUAUAUUCGGAUUCUUAGCCGUUUACAUUGCCAUAGAUGCCAAUAAGCUGUUUAAUAAUGAAAUUUUGAUAGUCACAGCUGUUGUACAUAAAUAACAGCCACUCGAAGUCUGCUAUGAAUAGUACAUUUGGUAGGCUGUUGGUAAAGAUAAUUGCUAUCUACAAUAGUAUGAAGAGCUUCGGCCUCUGAAGCUAGCUUUAAUUUCUUAUUUUACCAGCAUUCUCAUAUGUGCCAACCUUUCUGACAAUAUUUGAUGUUGCUGAGUCAGAAAUGAAACUUGGCAGCUAAUACGUUUUCCUUUUCUUCAUUAAAAGUGAAAAUAGGCGAUCAAAAUUCCUUUAUGCUUCACCGUCGGCUAUAAAUUUGUUCAGCACUUUGCUACGCUCAGCCUAGGAAGCCUCGUUAUGGCCUAAAACUGUUCUUAUAAUCUCUCCCAUUACGUUUAUUCCUAUUGUGUGCUGUUGCUACGUAAACCUGAAUUAAAAAAUCGUCGUACAUCAGCCUGUGCUUCCUCCCCAGACAUAAACUUUGAUGUUCAUAGUACAUUGACAAACUGAGCUGCGAUUUCAGACAAUUAAGCGUGACCACCGAAUCAAUCGAACGCGAUGUAUAAUAUCAGCUACAUACUCGUAUAUAAUCAAUUCUUGACACGAAUGCUGUGGCUGUGGAGAACAGAGCCAAUUAUUUGGUUUGCUGACGUCGCGCAAUCGACACUAUGAAUCUCUAAUUGGGGAAAAAAUAACAGCAGCAACGUCAUUUCAAAUCUAGUGUAAAUUUAUUUUUAUCGCCUUGCAUGCAUGCUUUAAUUAAAGGCUCUUCAGAUUGUACUGGAAAACAACUACAA